RNAcentral lists this ribosomal RNA (240 nucleotides) under uncultured bacterium. Its description in RNAcentral is "partial 16S ribosomal RNA". It matches the Rfam family "Bacterial small subunit ribosomal RNA", at positions 356 to 613 of the family's 1533-position model. The record is from RNAcentral.
GGGGAAUAUUGGACAAUGGGGGCAACCCUGAUCCAGCAAUGCCGCGUGUGUGAAGAAGGUCUUCGGAUUGUAAAGCACUUUCGACGGGGACGAUGAUGACGGUACCCGUAGAAGAAGCCCCGGCUAACUUCGUGCCAGCAGCCGCGGUAAUACGAAGGGGGCUAGCGUUGCUCGGAAUGACUGGGCGUAAAGGGCGUGUAGGCGGUUUACACAGUCAGAUGUGAAAUCCCCGGGCUUAAC